AGUGAACGCUGGCGGUAGGCCUAACACAUGCAAGUCGAACGGCAGCACAGUAAGAGCUUGCUCUUACGGGUGGCGAGUGGCGGACGGGCGAGGAAUACAUCGGAAUCUACUUUUUCGUGGGGGAUAACGUAGGGAAACCUACGCUAAUACCGCAUACGACCUACGGGUGAAAGCAGGGGAACUUCGGACCUUGCGCGAUUGAAUGAGCCGAUGUCGGAUUAGCUAGUUGGCGGGGUAAUGGCCCACCAAGGCGACGAUCCGUAGCUGGUCGGAGAGGAGGAUCGGCGACACUGGAACUGAGACACGGUCCAGACUCCUGCGGGAGGCAGCAGUGGGGAAUGGGAGACAAUGGGCGCGAGCCUGAUCCAACCAUACCGCGUGUGUGACGAAGGCGUUCGGAUUGUAAAGCCGUUUUGCUGGUUAAGAACAGCUGUAGCUUGAUACGCCGCUGGACUGACGGUACCGAAUAAAUAAGCACCGGCUAACUACGUG
RNAcentral lists this ribosomal RNA (492 nucleotides) under uncultured bacterium. Its description in RNAcentral is "partial 16S ribosomal RNA". It matches the Rfam family "Bacterial small subunit ribosomal RNA", at positions 29 to 507 of the family's 1533-position model. The record is from RNAcentral.